Molecule: transfer-messenger RNA, 346 nt
Filed under: bacterium
Lineage: Bacteria
Also listed under: 2 other names
Description: WJJW01 sp014729455 Standard tmRNA
Rfam family: transfer-messenger RNA
About the family: Bacterial tmRNA, also known as 10Sa RNA or SsrA, is named for its dual tRNA and mRNA-like properties. Its role is to liberate the mRNA from a stalled ribosome.
Source: RNAcentral
GGGGGCGCCUGGUUUCGACGGGGGGAGGGAAGCGAAGGACUGCGUGUCGAGCCGUCACGGCCUCGUUAAACCCGUGGCAAACCAUAAUUGCGAACGAAGAAUUCGCACUGGCUGCUUAAGUAGCCACGUCCCCUGAGGUUGCGCCUGCUGGGCUUCAGGAGGACGCUGAUACAGCGGGAUAGCCGCGGGAGCGCCCCGCGAACGCGGCGAAACUCUUAGGGGCUGGCCCGAGAAGGAUCCUGUCGGCCGGAGCCUUCGAGGGCGAGAUCCAAUCGACCGAAUACGCACGUAGAGGUCCUCGGAGAACUCCUUUCGGACGCGGGUUCGAUUCCCGCCGCCUCCACCA